This 206-nucleotide long non-coding RNA is filed under the name Mytilus galloprovincialis (Mediterranean mussel). The record is from RNAcentral. Lineage: Eukaryota; Metazoa; Mollusca; Bivalvia; Mytilida; Mytilidae.
GCAACGUAUUGCACACAAAAAAAAAGACAUCUAGAAGUCAACAUACAAAGUAUGUUGCCUAUACAAUAUAUCAUGCUCCAGAGGUAGCUUUAAUGCAAUUUGUGAAUAUUGCUAUAAACAGGGCACAUGCUAAGCAACACGUAUCACAGGAAAAUGUAGCAUGGAAUACACAGUCUGAUUAAGAAAUGCAUAUAUACUAACUACAC